UCGCCGUGUUGAUUUAUCUUUUUUGUUCGUGACCAUAGGUCUUUUCGAGGCCAUUUGAGUUUGACGCUUCCUUUCGGUGCUCGAGCUUGGGGACCCGAACUUCUCGUUACUUUGAGGAAGUCGAUUUCUCCUCGGCCUGUGUCGAGUUUCCUUUUAGUGACUGAGGAUUGUUUGAUAGGAGUAUCCUUCCUCAUUGAGAC
RNAcentral lists this long non-coding RNA (200 nucleotides) under Elaeis guineensis (African oil palm). Its description in RNAcentral is "long non-coding RNA (EGUI_LNC061918)". The record is from RNAcentral. Lineage: Eukaryota; Viridiplantae; Streptophyta; Magnoliopsida; Arecales; Arecaceae.